CGCGGAUAGUGAGGAGAUGUUUGCUGUAUGUGACAUCAAAUGUUCUAGCCUAAAACACGCAUGACAUCGCUUAGAACACUUUAAACAAUGUUUUUUUAU
Long non-coding RNA from Etheostoma spectabile (orangethroat darter), 99 nucleotides. RefSeq lists it as uncharacterized. Lineage: Eukaryota; Metazoa; Chordata; Actinopteri; Perciformes; Percidae. The record is from RefSeq and is a predicted model, not a curated record. The transcript is spliced from 3 exons.